AUAAAGUUUUAUUUUAGCUUUAAAAAUUAGUUUAUAAUUUUUAUAUAUGUAAAUUUUAGUGUAGUUUUAAUCUAAAUGAUUAAAUUUUAUUAGCAGUAUAUUAAUUUAUAUAUUAAGUAAUUUUAGAUAUAGAAAUUUAUUUUAAUUUUAACAAAUUUUGUGCCAGCAGUUGCGGUUAUACAAAAAAAGUAAUUAAUUUUGUUUUAGUUUAUAAUUAAAUUAUUUUUUAUAACUUAAAUUUUUAUAUAUUAAGUGAAAUUUUAUAUAAAUAUUAGUUAUUAAUAUUUGAUUGAUUUAUGAAAUUUUUAUAAUAAACUAGGAUUAGAUACCCUAUUAUAAAAAAUGUAAAUUAUUAAAACUAAAUUAGUAAUAGUUAUUUUCUUGAAAAUUAAAAAAUUUGGCGGUAUUUUAGUCUUUUCAGAGGAACCUGUUUUAUAAUUUGAUAAUCCACGAUUUAUUAGACUUAUGUUUUUAAUUUGUAUAUCGUCGUAGUUGAAUAUUUUUAAAGAAAAUAAAUAUUCAAAAUUUAGUUUUAAAAUAAAUCAGAUCAAGAUGCAGUUUAUAUAUAAGUAAUAAUGGGUUACAAUAAAUCUAUUUAAAUGGAAUUAAAUUUGAAAUAAUUUAAUAAAAGUGGAUUUGAAAGUAAUUUUAGUUAAUUUACUAAAAUGAUUUAAGCUCUAAAAUAUGCACAUAUUGCCCGUCGCUCUCAUUUAAAAUUUGAGAUAAGUCGUAACAAAGUAGAUGUACUGGAAAGUGUAUCUAGAAUUAC
RNAcentral lists this non-coding RNA (769 nucleotides) under Anobiinae sp. BMNH 1274383. The record is from RNAcentral. Lineage: Eukaryota; Metazoa; Arthropoda; Insecta; Coleoptera; Ptinidae.